UCCGUAGUAGUGAAAUGGUAUCACUCAACUUUGCCAAAGUUGCAGCGCGAGUUCGAUUCUCGUCUACGGGAC
RNAcentral lists this transfer RNA (72 nucleotides) under Streptomyces phage Faust. Its description in RNAcentral is "tRNA-Glu". It matches the Rfam family "tRNA". From Rfam's summary of the family: Transfer RNA (tRNA) molecules are approximately 80 nucleotides in length. Their secondary structure includes four short double-helical elements and three loops (D, anti-codon, and T loops). Further hydrogen bonds mediate the characteristic L-shaped molecular structure. tRNAs have two regions of fundamental functional importance: the anti-codon, which is responsible for specific mRNA codon recognition, and the 3' end, to which the tRNAs corresponding amino acid is attached (by aminoacyl-tRNA synthetases). tRNAs cope with the degeneracy of the genetic code in two manners: having more than one tRNA (with a specific anti-codon) for a particular amino acid; and 'wobble' base-pairing, i.e. permitting non-standard base-pairing at the 3rd anti-codon position. The record is from RNAcentral. Lineage: Duplodnaviria; Heunggongvirae; Uroviricota; Caudoviricetes; Stanwilliamsviridae.